AGCCAGGCACUGUGCUCGUAACCGUCGAGGAACCCGCCAGGUCCGGAAGGAAGCAACGGUACUCGAAAGGUGCGGUGCCGCAGAGCGCCUGGCUUUC
RNAcentral lists this signal recognition particle RNA (97 nucleotides) under Treponema sp. RNAcentral describes it as "signal recognition particle sRNA small type". It matches the Rfam family "Bacterial small signal recognition particle RNA". Rfam says of the family: The signal recognition particle (SRP) is a universally conserved ribonucleoprotein involved in the co-translational targeting of proteins to membranes. Archaeal SRP consists of a 7S RNA and homologues of the eukaryotic SRP19 and SRP54 proteins. RNAcentral also lists the same sequence under 3 other names. The record is from RNAcentral. Lineage: Bacteria; Pseudomonadati; Spirochaetota; Spirochaetia; Treponematales; Treponemataceae.